GGGGAGGAGGCGGAGCCGGCUGACCGCAGCCAGGAGUCCAGCACCCUGGAGGGCGGCCCCUCGGCCCGCAGGCAGCGGUGGCAGCGGGACCUCAACCCAGAACCUGAGCCAGAAUCGGAAGAGCCAGACGGAGGCUUUAGGACGCUGUAUGCAGAGCUGCGCAGGGAGAACGAGCGGCUUCGCGAGGCCCUGACCGAGACCACGCUGCGGCUGGCGCAGCUCAAGGUGGAGCUGGAGCGGGCCACGCAGAGGCAAGAACGCUUCGCUGAGAGGCCAGCCCUCCUGGAACUGGAGAGAUUCGUGAGUAGGGGCAGUGGGGAUGGGGGCCAGAGGCGUCCCCAGCCUCACAUCCCUAAGUUUGGACCAAGGGAGCCACAUUGCCCUUCCCAGCUGGCCCCUGGCCUUCCCCUGCCCUCCUCAGCCUCACUCAGUUUCUGCACUUUCCCUGUUCAUUCCAGGAGCGCAGGGCCCUGGAACGCAAGGCCGCAGAGCUGGAGGAGGAGCUGAAGGCCCUGUCUGACCUCCGCGCUGACAACCAGCGCCUCAAGGAUGAGAAUGCAGCGUUGAUCCGCGUCAUCAGCAAACUCUCCAAGUGACCCGGAGGGACUUUCCCGCACCCGUAUUUAUACAGCUGCUUCUGCCACACGCACCCCUUCCCCCGUGUGAACACGAGUGACAGGGCUCCGGGGGAAGUCUCAGAGAAGCCAUAGCCCCCCUGGGACCUCCGGACUGGGAGGGGAGCAGAGUCCCCAGGAGCCGAGGGGGCCACCCGAGGCCAGGAUGGAGGUGGGAGGCCGAGCCAAGCAGGGGGACGUUGCCAGAGGGGACCAGGGCCAGAGACGGGACCAGGAAGGAACUGAGGACCAAGAAGUGCAAGGAUCAGUAGCCAGGACCAGAGUGGCCGCCUGGAGGUCCCCAUCUCACGUGUGAUGCCACCCCGUCACCCCUCCCCUCCUGAGCAGGGAUCCAAGAAUGUGCCAAGAGUCCCGCCAGCCUCAGCCAGGUGGGCCUGUAUAUAGGGUCCAUGUGCAAUAGGGAGGGACGUCUUCUAUUUUUUGCUGCCCCCUCCCCGCCCACUGUCUGGGGCAGGGGGAGAAGGUAUUUUCGAGAUAAAGCACAGGCACCACAAAUAAAAGUCGUGAAGUUGCCACUCAA
Molecule: long non-coding RNA, 1155 nt
Filed under: Homo sapiens (human)
Lineage: Eukaryota; Metazoa; Chordata; Mammalia; Primates; Hominidae
Description: HSALNT0262399
Source: RNAcentral